CGAAGGGUGCGAGCGUUAAUCGGAAUUACUGGGCGUAAAGAGCACGUAGGCGGUUUGAUAAGCGGAAUGUGAAAUCCCCGGGCUUAACCUGGGAACUGCAUUCCGAACUGUCAGGCUAGAGUAUGAUAGAGGUGAGCGGAAUUUCCUGUGUAGCGGUGAAAUGCGUAGAUAUAGGAAGGAACAUCAGUUGCGAAGGCGGCUCACUGGAUCAAUACUGACGCUGAGGUGCGAAAGCGUGGGUAGCGAACAGGAUUAGAUACCCUGGUAGUCCACGCCGUAAACGAUGUCUACUAGCCGUUAGGGUACUUGAUACCCUAGUGGCGCAGCUAACGCGAUAAGUAGACCGCCUGGGGAGUACGGCCGCAAGGUUA
RNAcentral lists this ribosomal RNA (371 nucleotides) under uncultured organism. RNAcentral's name for it is "bacterial SSU rRNA". It matches the Rfam family "Bacterial small subunit ribosomal RNA", at positions 526 to 896 of the family's 1533-position model. The record is from RNAcentral.